Molecule: long non-coding RNA, 453 nt
Filed under: Physcomitrium patens
Lineage: Eukaryota; Viridiplantae; Streptophyta; Bryopsida; Funariales; Funariaceae
Description: long non-coding RNA (PPAT_LNC012448)
Source: RNAcentral
UUUAGGAUUUGGAUAGGAUUUGAUUUAGGAUUUAGGAUUUGAUUAGGGUUUGGUUUAGGAUUUAGGAUUUGAAUUAGGGUUUGGAUUAGGGUUUGAUUAGGAUUUGGUUUAAGAUUUAGGAUUUGGAUUAGGAUUUGGUUUAGGAUUCGGUUAGGAUUUGAUUUAGGAUUUAGGAUUUGGUCAGGAUUUGAUUUAGGAUUUAGAAUUUUAUUAGGAUUUAAGAUUCAAUUAGUUUGGAUGAAGUUCAAUAGGAUUUUAACUAGAAUUAAAUUAAGAUUGAAUUGAGAUGUAUUUGAAUGUCAUUUGUGUUCUUUUUAAUGUUUCUUUAAAAAUUCUUAUUGUUUGUUUGAAAUUUCUUUGAGGUUUUUUUGAAUUUGAUUAAAUUUGCUUAGCAUUAUUAUAAUCUAAUUAGAGCAUUAUUAGUAUUCUAUUAAAAUUAGGAUUUUGUUAUUA